AUCGCUAUGGCUUAGUGGGAAAGCGCCAGGCUCAUAUGUUUGUGAUCACCUGGAGAUCCCUCGAUCGAAACGAGGUGGCGAUA
Molecule: transfer RNA, 83 nt
Filed under: Apiotrichum porosum
Lineage: Eukaryota; Fungi; Basidiomycota; Tremellomycetes; Trichosporonales; Trichosporonaceae
Description: Trichosporon porosum tRNA
Rfam family: tRNA
About the family: Transfer RNA (tRNA) molecules are approximately 80 nucleotides in length. Their secondary structure includes four short double-helical elements and three loops (D, anti-codon, and T loops).
Source: Rfam by way of RNAcentral